AAGAGAGCAUCUAAGAAGCUGAAAGAGAGACUUAGGAUGGGUUUAGGUUCAGUCAUCUAAGUGAGUAUUCAGAUCUCGCAUUGGAUUUGGAUAGGGUUGGGUUGGCUCAGAUCAUUUAUCUCAAGAUCCAAAUCAAUCUAAAAGUCUCCACGGAUCAGGUUAGAUCAAGAUUCAGUAAAUCCAUAUCCGAUCCAGAAAAUGGAACGAAUCCAAUUUUAGAACCCGACCUAAAUCCAGAGAUCUUUUAAAAUGAUUUGGAUCGGAUCUAUAUGGAUUGGAUCAGAUCACAGGUCAAUUUGAUCCAUUUGCAGCCUUAGGUAGAG
Molecule: long non-coding RNA, 323 nt
Filed under: Elaeis guineensis (African oil palm)
Lineage: Eukaryota; Viridiplantae; Streptophyta; Magnoliopsida; Arecales; Arecaceae
Description: long non-coding RNA (EGUI_LNC036010)
Source: RNAcentral